AAAAACAUCGCCUCUUGUUUUAAUUAUAAGAGGUCCAGCCCUGCCCAGUGACUAAAUUUAACGGCCGCGGUAUCCUAACCGUGCGAAGGUAGCGUAAUCACUUGUUCUUUAAAUAAGGACUAGUAUGAAUGGCAUCACGAAGGUUAUACUGUCUCCCUUUUUUAAUCAGUGAAACUAAUCUCCCCGUGAAGAAGCGGGAAUAAAACUAUAAGACGAGAAGACCCUAUGGAGCUUUAGACUUUUCGGUAAAUGAUACUUUUACAUUAUAUCCUCCGGGAACUAAAUUUUAUUUUCCCAUAAUAACCGUUAGUCUUAGGUUGGGGUGACCGCGGAGUAUAAUCAAACCUCCACGCUGAAAGAAAAUAAAUUUCUUAGCCAAGAGCUACAACUCUAAGCACCAAAAAUUUGACAUAAAUUGAUCCAAUUAAUUGAUCAACGAACCAAGUUACCCUAGGGAUAACAGCGCAAUCUACUUCAAGAGCUCCUAUCGACAAGUAGGUUUACGACCUCGAUGUUGGAUCAGGGUGUCCUAGUGGUGCAGCCGCUACUAAAGGUUCGUUUGUUCAACGAUUAAAACCCUACGUGAUC
RNAcentral lists this ribosomal RNA (588 nucleotides) under Physalaemus albonotatus (Menwig frog). RNAcentral's name for it is "partial 16S ribosomal RNA". It matches the Rfam family "Bacterial large subunit ribosomal RNA", at positions 1809 to 2605 of the family's 2925-position model. Lineage: Eukaryota; Metazoa; Chordata; Amphibia; Anura; Leptodactylidae. The record is from RNAcentral.